AGUGAACGCUGGCGGUAGGCCUAACACAUGCAAGUCGAACGGCAGCACAGUAAGAGCUUGCUCUUACGGGUGGCGAGUGGCGGACGGGUGAGGAAUACAUCGGAAUCUACUUUUUCGUGGGGGAUAACGUAGGGAAACUUACGCUAAUACCGCAUACGACCUACGGGUGAAAGCAGGGGAUCUUCGGACCUUGCGCGAUUGAAUGAGCCGAUGUCGGAUUAGCUAGUUGGCGGGGUAAAGGCCCGCCAAGGCGACGAUCCGUAGCUGGUGUGAGAGGAUGAUCAGCCACACUGGAGCGGGGACACGGUCCAGACUCCUACGGGAGGCAGCAGUGGGGAAUAUUGGACAAGGGGCGCAAGCCUGAUCCAGCCAUACCGCGUGGGUGAAGAAGGCCUUCGGGUUGUAAAGCCCUUUUGUUGGGAAAGAAAAGCAGCAGGUUAAUACCCCGCUGUUCUGACGGUACCCAAAGAAUAAGCACCGGCUAACUUCGUG
This 492-nucleotide ribosomal RNA is filed under the name uncultured bacterium. RNAcentral's name for it is "partial 16S ribosomal RNA". It matches the Rfam family "Bacterial small subunit ribosomal RNA", at positions 29 to 507 of the family's 1533-position model. The record is from RNAcentral.